UGUUAGUGGAAGCGUCUGGAAAGGCGCGUGAUACAGGGUGACAGCCCCGUACACAAAAAUGCACAUGCUGUGAGCUCGAUGAGUAGGGCGGGACACGUGGUAUCCUGUCUGAAUAUGGGGGGACCAUCCUCCAAGGCUAAAUACUCCUGACUGACCGAUAGUGAACCAGUACCGUGAGGGAAAGGCGAAAAGAACCCCGGCGAGGGGAGUGAAAAAGAACCUGAAACCGUGUACGUACAAGCAGUGGGAGCACGCUUAGGCGUGUGACUGCGUACCUUUUGUAUAAUGGGUCAGCGACUUAUAUUCUGUAGCAAGGUUAACCGAAUAGGGGAGCCGAAGGGAAACCGAGUCUUAACUGGGCGUUAAGUUGCAGGGUAUAGACCCGAAACCCGGUGAUCUAGCCAUGGGCAGGUUGAAGGUUGGGUAACACUAACUGGAGGACCGAACCGACUAAUGUUGAAAAAUUAGCGGAUGACUUGUGGCUGGGGGUGAAAGGCCAAUCAAACCGGGAGAUAGCUGGUUCUCCCCGAAAGCUAUUUAGGUAGCGCCUCGUGAAUUCAUCUCCGGGGGUAGAGCACUGUUUCGGCAAGGGGGUCAUCCCGACUUACCAACCCGAUGCAAACUGCGAAUACCGGAGAAUGUUAUCACGGGAGACACACGGCGGGUGCUAACGUCCGUCGUGAAGAGGGAAACAACCCAGACCGCCAGCUAAGGUCCCAAAGUCAUGGUUAAGUGGGAAACGAUGUGGGAAGGCCCAGACAGCCAGGAUGUUGGCUUAGAAGCAGCCAUCAUUUAAAGAAAGCGUAAUAGCUCACUGGUCGAGUCGGCCUGCGCGGAAGAUGUAACGGGGCUAAACCAUGCACCGAAGCUGCGGCAGCGACGCUUAUGCGUUGUUGGGUAGGGGAGCGUUCUGUAAGCCUGUGAAGGUGUACUGUGAGGUAUGCUGGAGGUAUCAGAAGUGCGAAUGCUGACAUAAGUAACGAUAAAGCGGGUGAAAAGCCCGCUCGCCGGAAGACCAAGGGUUCCUGUCCAACGUUAAUCGGGGCAGGGUGAGUCGACCCCUAAGGCGAGGCCGAAAGGCGUAGUCGAUGGGAAACAGGUUAAUAUUCCUGUACUUGGUGUUACUGCGAAGGGGGGACGGAGAAGGCUAUGUUGGCCGGGCGACGGUUGUCCCGGUUUAAGCGUGUAGGCUGGUUUUCCAGGCAAAUCCGGAAAAUCAAGGCUGAGGCGUGAUGACGAGGCACUACGGUGCUGAAGCAACAAAUGCCCUGCUUCCAGGAAAAGCCUCUAAGCAUCAGGUAACAUCAAAUCGUACCCCAAACCGACACAGGUGGUCAGGUAGAGAAUACCAAGGCGCUUGAGAGAACUCGGGUGAAGGAACUAGGCAAAAUGGUGCCGUAACUUCGGGAGAAGGCACGCUGAUAUGUAGGUGAAGUCCCUCGCGGAUGGAGCUGAAAUCAGUCGAAGAUACCAGCUGGCUGCAACUGUUUAUUAAAAACACAGCACUGUGCAAACACGAAAGUGGACGUAUACGGUGUGACGCCUGCCCGGUGC
Molecule: ribosomal RNA, 1554 nt
Filed under: Escherichia coli
Lineage: Bacteria; Pseudomonadati; Pseudomonadota; Gammaproteobacteria; Enterobacterales; Enterobacteriaceae
Description: partial 23S ribosomal RNA
Rfam family: Bacterial large subunit ribosomal RNA
Source: RNAcentral